This 6108-nucleotide long non-coding RNA is filed under the name Populus trichocarpa (black cottonwood). RNAcentral's name for it is "long non-coding RNA (PTRI_LNC004127)". Lineage: Eukaryota; Viridiplantae; Streptophyta; Magnoliopsida; Malpighiales; Salicaceae. The record is from RNAcentral.
CAGUGAGGGAAUAAUAAUUAAUAUACAUUUUAGAUAUUCUUGAUAUUUAUAGUUCGCAAGAUCAUUUAUCUUGAUAUACAUAUACAUAUACAUACUAAACUUAUCAUAUACAUAUCAUAUACAUACUAAACGUAUCAUCAUAACGUAGUGGACUAUAUGUCAGAGAUCAGAUGACACCCGAAGGUGACCAGAUGACACCCGAAGGUGACCAGACCAGAUGACACCCGAAGGUGACCACUGUGGGAUGAUCAGUCGCCACAGGCUGAUGCCUCUCUCACCAGCUAGGUAUACAUACAGAAUACUAUGUGCACACAGGCUAACUACUCUCCGUUAGCAUGGAGUUACUGACAAGUCCCAUAUCAAGGCAUAAUAGAUAUUCACAUAAUCAUCAAGAAACGUAUAUCAUAUCAAAUAGGAUUUACUUUGACAGAUUGCGAGUGCAAAUUCAAGAAUAAAUGAGUACUCGGAAAAUAAGCAACAUAUAUAAUUAUUCAAGGAAUUAACGAGUUGUACUCAUUGUAUAAUCAACAUACAUAUUUACUUAUCAUAUAUGCAUAUUAAAGAUUAUUCCACUCACCCGGAAAAUAUAGAACUAAAAGGAAUGUCAGACGAAAGACCCGAAAAUCCUAUUGAGGAUCGUUAGGAGAACCUACAACAAUACGAAAAUAUACUCAAAAGCAACUCAAACAAGAGAUCCCAAUGCAUAAAAGAAAACCAGGUUUAGUCUCCUAAGUUUAUGGACUAAAACGAUAAUUUUCCAAAACAGGGACCAAAACGUAAUUUUACCAAAAUUGGACCAAUCUGGAAAAUACAUAACUAUACUGAAUUUUCACCCAUAAACCAUCCUUAAUUCUGUCUAGAACGAACCAGGGACCGAACUGUAAUUUUCAUAAAGUUCAGGGACUAAAAUGUAAAUUCCCGAAAUUGAGGGACCAAACUGAAAAUAUUCCAAAUCAAUUAUCAAACUCAGAUUCAUCAUCCUUAACCUCAUAAUAACACUGUCCAGAAUCUCAAAAUACAAUUAGGGGUCAAAUUAUAAUUUUACCAAAGUUUAGGGACUAAAUUGUAAUUUCACAAAUUGAGGGACCAAAUUGAAUUUUCGUCAUCUUCAACCUCAAACCCAGAAUUUCACAGAUUACCUACUGUCAUCUUCUGAUUUCUAACACAAUUUCACCAUUCAAACAAAAUCAUAACUCAAAAUCAUCAUCUUUACCUCCAAUCUCUCACAAUCAACUAAUUAACCAAUUACCCACAACAAUCAACCCAUAACCUUCCAAUUAAUUCAUCAAUCAAACUCAAAACACAAUAUUCAAAACCCUAACAUUUAUCAAAACAGAACUUAAAGCUUAAAGAACACACAUUUAUACAUAAUCUUACCUUUAAACUUAUUUUCCUCUACUUCUCUCCCUUUUCCCUUCUCUUCCCCUCUUUUCUCUUCUUCUUCUUCCUCCUCCCUUCUCUCUCACGGUUUGCUCCUUCCAUUUUCAGAUCCCUCUUUCUUUCUUCUUCUUUCUUUUAUUUAUAUUUAUCAACUAUUGUUCAAUUACCACAAUACCCCUCAUUUAAUUAUACUUACUUCUAAGCCUCCAAGGGCUUGGUUGCCCUUUCCUACUAAUUUAUUUGCAAAACAUCACAAUCUCCCCACCUUAUAAAAGUUUCGUCCUCGAAACUUAAAAUUUAAGAACCAAAGUCUUACCAUCAUGAUCAAAUAAAUUAUUUAAAACUUAUCUCUAAAAUUGUAUUUCUUAAACUAUCAUUUAAAGUCCACUUAAAAAAAAAAUCAAUAUAUAGCACCAUGCUUUCGUUGCGCACUCUGAUAUAUCCACUGAAAAAAAUAUCUCAUGCAUAACUUUUCUUAAUUCAUAUCCCUCAAAAUCAAACAACACACCCUUCAAUUUCUCUUGAAUCAACUUUUCUCAAAUAACUUAUCUCAAAUCAUAUCUCUUCAAAAAUCAAAACGCAUCCUCAUAAUUUAUUUAUUUUUAAGCAUCAGGUAAAAGAAUUCAGCCUUAUAGUUGGGGAAUGUCAUGAAGUAACAGAGUCUAAUGAACAACAACAAUUAUGAGCUCAAACUUUCAAGAGGUAUCAAUCAUGGAGGAGAUUUCGCUUGCAAAAGCAAUAAGCGAUGAAGAUGAUAAGAUGUAUGUAGUUCUCUCAACCACCAUAACAACUAAAGAGUCAGAUGAAAUGAUAAAGACUAUAAAGGAGGAACAUAGUUGUUGUGACAAGAUUAAGGCAACAAUUAUGGUAAAGAUAACAAAAACCAGCUUGGAAGAAGCUUAGAUGGAUGAAAAGUUGUUAUAUGGUUUCAAUAUUACCUCAAAUGAUAGUGUUUCUCUUGAAAUUGAAGCAAAAACAUGUUUGAUAAGAAAAAAAAAAUCAAAGAUAACAUGGGACUUAAGAUACCCUACUUGAGAACUGAGGAUGCAUAGUAUAAGCAGUUUGGUGUGCUUCCGUCAUCACAUCUCUUUUCAAACCAUCCACCUCAGGCACACAUAACCUGGAACCAAAUCUCAACACACCAUCUUCAUGGAUAACAAAACCCGGAGCUCUCCCUAACUCCAACUCAUCUCUAAUCUUGCAAAGUCGCUCAUCCUUCAUUUGAGCUACUUUAAUUCGGUCUACCAAGUCUGACAUAGCCUGAAAGUGAGCCAACAAUGCUCCCGAUUCACAAAUCUCAAAACUGACCCUCUCAUCUAACAAUCAGUGUAACUCUUUAAUCAAAGGUCUCCUCACCUCCUGAAUAUGAGCCAAACUACCCAUAGAUUUUCUGCUUAAGGCAUCGGCAACAACAUUUGCCUUGCCCGGGUGAUAUUGAAUCGUGCAAUCAUAAUCACUUAACAAUUCCAUCCACCUUUUCUAUCUCAAAUUCAGAUCCUUAUGCUGGAAGAUAUAUUGAAGACUUUUAUGAUCUGAAAAUAUCUCACAUGUCUCCCCAUACAAGUAGUGUCUCUAAAUUUUAAGGGCAAACACUACUGCAACCAUCUCCAAAUCAUGUGUGGGGUAAUUUUGUUCGUGCUUCUUCAACUUUCUCGAGGCAUAAGCAAUCACAUUACCGUUCUGCAUCAAAACACAACCCAAACCAAUCCUGGAUGCAUCAUAGUACACGGUAAAACCACCAGACCCUGAAGAUACUGUUAAAAUAGGAGCUGUAAUUAACCUUUCCUUCAACUCCAGGAAACUCUUUUCACAUUCUUCUGACCAUUGAAACUUGACAUUUUUUUUUUUUUGUCAACUUAGUCAUUGGAGCAGCAAUUCAGGAAAAAUUCUCCACGAAUCUCCUGUAAUAUCAUGUUAAACCCAUAAAACUCCUAAUCUCAGAUAUUGUAACUGGUCUAGGCCACUGCUUAAUUGCCUCCACUUUUUGUGGAUCAACCUCUAUCCUAUUCUUGGACACUACAUGUCCCAGAAACCCAACAGUUUCUAACCAAAACUCACUCUUCAAGAAUUUUCCAUACAACUGAUGAUCUCUCAGAGUUUGAAGCACCAAUCUCAAAUGCUGCUCAUGCUCUUCUCUAGACCUCGAAUACACCAAAAUGUCAUCAAUGAACACAAUAACAAACUUAUCAAUAAACGGCCUAAAAACCCUGUUCAUCAUGUCCAUAAAAGCUGCAGGUGCAUUCGUUAACCCAAAAGACAACACUAGGAACUCGUAAUGCCCAUAACGAGUCCUAAAGGCAGUUUUAGGAACAUCCUCAUUCCUAAUCCUCAACUGGUGAUACCCCGAUCGCAAAUCAAUUUUUGAGAAACAUUGAGCUCUUUGUAAUUGAUCAAAAAGGUCAUCAAUGCGAGGGAGUGGGUAUUUAUUCUUAACAGUGACCUUGUUCAACUGCCUAUAGUCUAUACACAUCCUCAUUGAUCCAUCAUUGGGACCUCUAUGUUCACAUCAUGCACAUAAGCCAAAAACCCAUGCAUACCCUUCUGUACCAUCCUUCUCGUACCAUCCUUCUCGUGAUGGCCGGGAAAAUACUAGAUGGAGAUGAUACUUUAUCUUCAUGAAAAGCAAAUUUGUAUCCUCAUUAGGUUUGAAAGCUAUUAUCUUAUUCCAACAAUCAACUGAGACAUGGUGUCUUGACAACUAAUCCAUACCUAAUAUCACAUAAAAUGCUCACUAUUUCUAAAAGUACCAAAUCACCCAAUUUUAGAUAAGUAUAUUAAUCAACAUAUAGAUCAUAAUCAAAAGCCUAUAAUAACAACCUUCAUAAGUAAUUCUCCAAUAACAGUCUCAUCAUCCAUAACUAAUUAAUCAUAUUUCAACUUUCUCCUGCAUUUAAAAUCUAUAUUUCUGAAAUAAAAAUAUUGCGGAAAGAGAUGAGCGUCCACGACUCAAAAAGUAAUCAAAAUAAACACACCCAGAAAAAUAUUAUCAAACACAAAUUUUUCAUUGAAUAUUGUCAACGAUAUAUAUAUCAUAGAAAAAGAUUAUUAGACAUAUUUUUCAGAAUACUUACCAAAGAUAACACAUAUAGAUAUAAAUAUGAUGUAAAAUCAGAUUUAAAUACAAAAAUACUAUAAGUUGUUCAAUUACUUAAAAGCACAUACUUACAUUCAAUAUACACUCACUAACAUGAUUUGCACAUAUACAUACUUUUAGAGCACUACAAAUCAGAAAAUCAGCUCAUUUACAUAUAUUAUAUAUACUUCCAAAAAAAAUAUAUUUAUACCAAAUACUUAUGCUUAAGUAUUUUCAAGAAAUAUUAUUACUCAAAUACACGUUUUAUGCAAAUACUUUCAAAGAUAUACUUAUAUCAAAUAUUCACACACACAAGUAUAUGCAAAACACGUAUACCACAUAUAUUAUAUCCAAGAAUAUACUUAUAUCAAAUAUUGUCAGCCAUGUAUGAAAAACACAUAUUAUACAUAGUAUAUCCAUUGAUAUAUUUAUAUCAACCAUUCACAUAAUAUAUAUUUCCCCACAUGUAUAUCAACACGGCAAUAAAAAAAAAAGUUCAAAGAAGACAAUGAGGAAUCACAAUAAGACAAGAAGGAUCCUAAGCUCCACAUAUUACAAGUUUUUUUUUUUUUAAAAAAAAGGACCAAGUUUUAACAAAACCAAGCUACAGGGAUUUAACAAGAACCUGGCUCUGAUACCACCUUUGUAACGACCCGAAUCCCGGGUCCAUGACCGGCAACGCAGGAGCGGUGCCGGAAGGACACCCCGCCCGCGCUAAGCCUCAAAACGAACAUAUCAAAAGAAUAAUUUAUUCAAAAAUACGCAGCAUUUCAUAAUCUUCAGAAAUAUUAUAUCCUUCAAAACUGAUGAAACCAAAAGAUAGUUUAAAACUCUUCAUCAGUAAUUAAAACAAAAACAAUAAUCCAUAAUACUCAUUACAUUGUCAAAAAUCCAAACUUAAUUAAAACAAGGUAAUAGUGGAGCGCCUAAGACAUCGAAUCAAACAGCCUUGAAAGAUAAGCAAGGCAUACCGACCCAAAACUGAAGAAGCAGGAACACUCAACAAGGUUCACCUGCUAUCAGAAACUAAGAACCUGAAAUAAUAUUAAGAAUGAGGGGUGAGUUCAACCAACUCAGUGAGGGAAUAAUAAUUAAUAUACAUUUUAGAUAUUCUUGAUAUUUAUAGUUCGCAAGAUCAUUUAUCUUGAUAUACAUAUACAUAUACAUACUAAACUUAUCAUAUACAUAUCAUAUACAUACUAAACGUAUCAUCAUAACGUAGUGGACUAUAUGUCAGAGAUCAGAUGACACCCGAAGGUGACCAGAUGACACCCGAAGGUGACCAGACCAGAUGACACCCGAAGGUGACCACUGUGGGAUGAUCAGUCGCCACAGGCUGAUGCCUCUCUCACCAGCUAGGUAUACAUACAGAAUACUAUGUGCACACAGGCUAACUACUCUCCGUUAGCAUGGAGUUACUGACAAGUCCCAUAUCAAGGCAUAAUAGAUAUUCACAUAAUCAUCAAGAAACGUAUAUCAUAUCAAAUAGGAUUUACUUUGACAGAUUGCGAGUGCAAAUUCAAGAAUAAAUGAGUACUCGGAAAAUAAGCAACAUAUAUAAUUAUUCAAGGAAUUAACGAGUUGUACUCAUUGUAUAAUCAACAUACAUAUUUACUUAUCAUAUAUGCAUAUUAAAGAUUAUUCCACUCACCCGG